GUGUCUCAUCGGGUCAUGGUGUUAAUUUGGUACACAGCUCAAGUAGCAUUUCUCCAAGUGAAGACACUGUCCAUAAAGAGCAAACACUGGACCUUAAAAGUUCUUUUGAGGAAAAAGUGGAUUCCUCCAAGACACUUUUUUCAACUUCAGCUUCUAACAAAGAGCAAACAUUAAUGGUUAAAGAUGUCCCAGCUCAUUGGACUGCAACUGAAACUAAGCCUGGUUCUGAUCAAUUAGAUGAUCUGGAUGAAGGAUGCUGCACUGAAUUACUCUUACAAAAGCUGGAGCAGCUCAAAGAACUGCAACACCACAAGAAGGAACUUCUGAGAAGGCAGCAAAUGGAGCAAAUUCAGAGAUUAAUGGAAGAGCAACAAAACUUACUUUCCCUGGUUGCUGAGCAGCAGGAACACACAGGCUCUCCUGCAACCAAAGAUGAUGGAACCCAGAACUAUGCUGGAUCGGUUUGUUUGUCUCCUGUCCCUUAUUUUCCACUAUGUCCCAGUAGAGGCAACACUGAUUGGGACAGUGCAUCUCGUGUUUCUUCUCCUGUGGACCAAAGAGAUUAUUUACAAAAUUUCAAUAAUAAUCAAAUAUUGAAGAAAAACCAUUCUGCAGACC
RNAcentral lists this long non-coding RNA (618 nucleotides) under Pseudonaja textilis. Its description in RNAcentral is "lncRNA (ENSPTXG00000005187.1)". Lineage: Eukaryota; Metazoa; Chordata; Lepidosauria; Squamata; Elapidae. The record is from RNAcentral.